AUGUGCAACGGGAUCUUCAGGAGCCCGGUUCACAGGGUGGUGACGAACGCCGAGAGGGAGAGGCUUUCGCUGGCCGUGUUUUAUGCCGUGGAUGGAGAAACGGUGCUGGAGCCGGCGCCUGGUUUGCUGGAUGACGAGCGGCCGCCAAGAUAUGGGAAGUUCAAGGCGAAAGUGCUAUUGUGA
Molecule: ribosomal RNA, 183 nt
Filed under: Triticum aestivum (bread wheat)
Lineage: Eukaryota; Viridiplantae; Streptophyta; Magnoliopsida; Poales; Poaceae
Description: partial small subunit ribosomal RNA
Source: RNAcentral